This 919-nucleotide ribosomal RNA is filed under the name uncultured Bacillota bacterium. RNAcentral's name for it is "bacterial SSU rRNA". It matches the Rfam family "Bacterial small subunit ribosomal RNA", at positions 1 to 917 of the family's 1533-position model. The record is from RNAcentral. Lineage: Bacteria; Bacillati; Bacillota.
UGGAUCCAGACUUUGAUUAUGGCUCAGGACGAACGCUGGCGGCGCGCCUAACACAUGCAAGUCGAACGGAGUUAUACCGACUGAAGUUUUCGGAUGGACGUUGAUAUAACUUAGUGGCGAACGGGUGAGUAACACGUGAGGAACCUGCCCUGAAGUGGGGGACAACAGUUGGAAACGACUGCUAAUACCGCAUAAGCCCACAGUGUCGCAUGGCACAGCGGGAAAAGGAUUUAUUCGCUUUAGGAUGGACUCGCGUCCAAUUAGGUAGAUGGUGAGGUAACGGCCCACCAUGCCGACGAUUGGUAGCCGGACUGAGAGGUUGAUCGGCCACAUUGGGACUGAGACACGGCCCAGACUCCUACGGGAGGCAGCAGUGGGGAAUAUUGCACAAUGGGGGAAACCCUGAUGCAGCGACGCCGCGUGGAGGAAGAAGGCCCUCGGGUUGUAAACUCCUGUCUUUGGGGACGAUAAUGACGGUACCCAAGGAGGAAGCCACGGCUAACUACGUGCCAGCAGCCGCGGUAAAACGUAGGUGGCAAGCGUUGUCCGGAAUUACUGGGUGUAAAGGGAGCGCAGGCGGAGCGGCAAGUUGGAGGUGAAACUCAUGGGCUCAACCCAUGAACUGCCUUCAAAACUGUCGGUCUUGAGUGGUGUAGAGGUAAGCGGAAUUCCCGGUGUAGCGGUGGAAUGCGUAGAUAUCGGGAGGAACACCAGUGGCGAAGGCGGCUUACUGGGCACUAACUGACGCUGAGGCUCGAAAGCAUGGGUAGCAAACAGGAUUAGAUACCCUGGUAGUCCAUGCCGUAAACGAUGAUUACUAGGUGUGGGGGGAUUGACCCCCUCCGUGCCGCAGUUAACACAAUAAGUAAUCCACCUGGGGAGUACGACCGCAAGGUUGCAACUCAAAGGAAUUGACGGA